This 425-nucleotide ribosomal RNA is filed under the name uncultured cyanobacterium. Its description in RNAcentral is "bacterial SSU rRNA". It matches the Rfam family "Bacterial small subunit ribosomal RNA", at positions 357 to 796 of the family's 1533-position model. The record is from RNAcentral. Lineage: Bacteria; Bacillati; Cyanobacteriota.
GGGAAUUUUCCGCAAUGGGCGAAAGCCUGACGGAGCAAUACCGCGUGAGGGAUGACGGCCUAUGGGUUGUAAACCUCUUUUUUCAGGGAGGAAUAAAUGACGUGUACCUGAAGAAUAAGCAUCGGCUAACUCCGUGCCAGCAGCCGCGGUAAGACGGAGGAUGCAAGUGUUAUCCGGAAUCACUGGGCGUAAAGCGUCUGUAGGUGGUUUAAUAAGUCAACUGUUAAAUCUUGAGGCUCAACUUCAAAAUCGCAGUCGAAACUAUUAGACUAGAGUAUAGUAGAGGUAAAGGGAAUUUCCAGUGGAGCGGUGAAAUGCGUAGAUAUUGGAAAGAACACCGAUGGCGAAAGCACUUUACUGGGCUAUUACUAACACUCAGAGACGAAAGCUAGGGUAGCAAAUGGGAUUAGAUACCCCAGUAGUCA